AGCAGCCGCGGUAAUUCCAGCUCCAAUAGCGUAUAUUAAAGUUGCUGCAGUUAAAAAGCUCGUAGUUGAAUUUCGGGAUCAAUAUGUUGGUCGUGCCUCGGUACGUACUAGCUUAUUGGUUUCUUCCUUCUGACGAACCAUAAUGUCAUUUAUUUGGUGUUAUGGGGAAUCAGGACUGUUACUUUGAAAAAAUUAGNGUGUUUAAAGCAGGCUCACGCUUGAAUACAUUAGCAUGGAAUAAUGAAAUAGGACGUUUGAUUCUAUUUUGUUGGUUUCUAGGAUCGACGUAAUGAUUAAUAGGGAUAGUUGGGGGCAUUAGUAUUCAAUUGUCAGAGGUGAAAUUCUUGGAUUUAUUGAAGACUAACUACUGCGAAAGCAUUUGCCAAGGAUGUUUUCAUUAAUCAAGAACGAAAGUUAGGAGAUCGAAGACGAUCAGAUACCGUCGUAGUCUUAACCAUAAACUAUGCCGACUAGGGAUCGGAUGAUGUUAAUUUUUUAAUGACUCAUUCGGCGCCUUACG
RNAcentral lists this unclassified non-coding RNA (520 nucleotides) under uncultured Glomus. RNAcentral describes it as "SSU rRNA". It matches the Rfam family "Eukaryotic small subunit ribosomal RNA", at positions 569 to 1092 of the family's 1831-position model. Lineage: Eukaryota; Fungi; Glomeromycota; Glomeromycetes; Glomerales; Glomeraceae. The record is from RNAcentral.